GGGAUUGAGGGAAGGGAAAGAAGCUGCGGAAAAGAAGAAAAAAAAAAGAAGAGAAAAGGCUAGCAACCUCAUGCUACAAUAUUGUUGUUGUUCCUAGCUACUGUUAUUUCAGAUUUUCAGAGACAGGAAUAGACACAUGUAAGGAUUCCGUUAAUUAGAGUAUACGAGUUGGCAGUUCCUGAAUGACAGUUGGCGAAGAAUAGUUGAAGAGGCGUGAGCUUUAACAGGCACAGACAAAGAUCCAAGAAAACCAGAGGAAUGGGUGCUCGAACCUCUUGAUAAUUUGAAGAAGCAU
Non-coding RNA from Nicotiana tabacum (common tobacco), 295 nucleotides. The record is from RefSeq and is a predicted model, not a curated record. NCBI's taxonomy places the organism in Eukaryota, Viridiplantae, Streptophyta, Magnoliopsida, Solanales, Solanaceae.